UUUUAUGGAGAGUUUGAUCCUGGCUCAGGAUGAACGCUGGCGGCGUGCCUAAUACAUGCAAGUCGAGCGAACGGACGAGAAGCUUGCUUCUCUGAUGUUAGCGGCGGACGGGUGAGUAACACGUGGAUAACCUACCUAUAAGACUGGGAUAACUUCGGGAAACCGGAGCUAAUACCGGAUAAUAUUUUGAACCGCAUGGUUCAAAAGUGAAAGACGGUCUUACUGUCACUUAUAGAUGGAUCCGCGCUGCAUUAGCUAGUUGGUAAGGUAACGGCUUACCAAGGCAACGAUGCAUAGCCGACCUGAGAGGGUGAUCGGCCACACUGGAACUGAGACACGGUCCAGACUCCUACGGGAGGCAGCAGUAGGGAAUCUUCCGCAAUGGGCGAAAGCCUGACGGAGCAACGCCGCGUGAGUGAUGAAGGUCUUCGGAUCGUAAAACUCUGUUAUUAGGGAAGAACAUAUGUGUAAGUAACUGUGCACAUCUUGACGGUACCUAAUCAGAAAGCCACGGCUAACUACGUGCCAGCAGCCGCGGUAAUACGUAGGUGGCAAGCGUUAUCCGGAAUUAUUGGGCGUAAAGCGCGCGUAGGCGGUUUUUUAAGUCUGAUGUGAAAGCCCACGGCUCAACCGUGGAGGGUCAUUGGAAACUGGAAAACUUGAGUGCAGAAGAGGAAAGUGGAAUUCCAUGUGUAGCGGUGAAAUGCGCAGAGAUAUGGAGGAACACCAGUGGCGAAGGCGACUUUCUGGUCUGUAACUGACGCUGAUGUGCGAAAGCGUGGGGAUCAAACAGGAUUAGAUACCCUGGUAGUCCACGCCGUAAACGAUGAGUGCUAAGUGUUAGGGGGUUUCCGCCCCUUAGUGCUGCAGCUAACGCAUUAAGCACUCCGCCUGGGGAGUACGACCGCAAGGUUGAAACUCAAAGGAAUUGACGGGGACCCGCACAAGCGGUGGAGCAUGUGGUUUAAUUCGAAGCAACGCGAAGAACCUUACCAAAUCUUGACAUCCUUUGACAACUCUAGAGAUAGAGCUUUCCCCUUCGGGGGACAAAGUGACAGGUGGUGCAUGGUUGUCGUCAGCUCGUGUCGUGAGAUGUUGGGUUAAGUCCCGCAACGAGCGCAACCCUUAAGCUUAGUUGCCAUCAUUAAGUUGGGCACUCUAAGUUGACUGCCGGUGACAAACCGGAGGAAGGUGGGGAUGACGUCAAAUCAUCAUGCCCCUUAUGAUUUGGGCUACACACGUGCUACAAUGGACAAUACAAAGGGCAGCGAAACCGCGAGGUCAAGCAAAUCCCAUAAAGUUGUUCUCAGUUCGGAUUGUAGUCUGCAACUCGACUACAUGAAGCUGGAAUCGCUAGUAAUCGUAGAUCAGCAUGCUACGGUGAAUACGUUCCCGGGUCUUGUACACACCGCCCGUCACACCACGAGAGUUUGUAACACCCGAAGCCGGUGGAGUAACCUUUUAGGAGCUAGCCGUCGAAGGUGGGACAAAUGAUUGGGGUGAAGUCGUAACAAGGUAGCCGUAUCGGAAGGUGCGGCUGGAUCACCUCCUUUCUAA
RNAcentral lists this ribosomal RNA (1557 nucleotides) under Staphylococcus aureus. RNAcentral describes it as "16S ribosomal RNA". It matches the Rfam family "Bacterial small subunit ribosomal RNA". The record is from RNAcentral. Lineage: Bacteria; Bacillati; Bacillota; Bacilli; Caryophanales; Staphylococcaceae.